GCCGGAGUGGCGAAAUUGGUAUACGCACCAGACUCAAAAUCUGGCGAGGUCACACUCAUGAGAGUUCGAGUCUCUCCUCCGGCACCA
This 87-nucleotide transfer RNA is filed under the name Acidobacteriota bacterium. RNAcentral describes it as "tRNA-Leu". It matches the Rfam family "tRNA". Rfam says of the family: Transfer RNA (tRNA) molecules are approximately 80 nucleotides in length. Their secondary structure includes four short double-helical elements and three loops (D, anti-codon, and T loops). Further hydrogen bonds mediate the characteristic L-shaped molecular structure. tRNAs have two regions of fundamental functional importance: the anti-codon, which is responsible for specific mRNA codon recognition, and the 3' end, to which the tRNAs corresponding amino acid is attached (by aminoacyl-tRNA synthetases). tRNAs cope with the degeneracy of the genetic code in two manners: having more than one tRNA (with a specific anti-codon) for a particular amino acid; and 'wobble' base-pairing, i.e. permitting non-standard base-pairing at the 3rd anti-codon position. The record is from RNAcentral. Lineage: Bacteria; Pseudomonadati; Acidobacteriota. RNAcentral also lists the same sequence under 3 other names.